GCAGAUGUAGCUCAAUUGGUCAGAGUGUCAGUCUUCCAAACUGAAAGUUGAGGGUUCAAACCCCUUCAUCUGCU
RNAcentral lists this transfer RNA (74 nucleotides) under Crassvirales sp. Its description in RNAcentral is "tRNA-Gly". It matches the Rfam family "tRNA". Rfam says of the family: Transfer RNA (tRNA) molecules are approximately 80 nucleotides in length. Their secondary structure includes four short double-helical elements and three loops (D, anti-codon, and T loops). Lineage: Duplodnaviria; Heunggongvirae; Uroviricota; Caudoviricetes; Crassvirales. The record is from RNAcentral.